UUUUCCUGCUGCCAGCCCUCACUGCACUCUCAGCCACUGAGCCAGGAAACCUGCCGCUGAAUUUCUCCGUGCUUGGGAAAGGCUGAGAAGUACAAAGCAUUGUGAGCUGCCAGGGAUCUGCAGGGGACGAGAAGAAUCCUUUUCCAGAGGCUUCUGCUGCAAAUGAAGACAAGACAAGACCUCAGCUUUGAAGAAGCCUUCUGCUGAACAAAGACAAGCGACGUGACCAGGAGCCUGGCGGACCUGAAACAGAUUUUCCAAUGUCCCAGCCUGGAACCCAAGUGCCUUAACUGGGUGUCCAGGAUGUAAAUAGUUCCAAGUUCUCUGU
Molecule: long non-coding RNA, 328 nt
Organism: Hirundo rustica (Barn swallow)
Lineage: Eukaryota; Metazoa; Chordata; Aves; Passeriformes; Hirundinidae
Exons: 3
Source: RefSeq, a predicted model, not a curated record